AUGUUGAAAAAUUAGCGGAUGACUUGUGGCUGGGGGUGAAAGGCCAAUCAAACCGGGAGAUAGCUGGUUCUCCCCGAAAGCUAUUUAGGUAGCGCCUCGUGAAUUCAUCUCCGGGGGUAGAGCACUGUUUCGGCAAGGGGGUCAUCCCGACUUACCAACCCGAUGCAAACUGCGAAUACCGGAGAAUGUUAUCACGGGAGACACACGGCGGGUGCUAACGUCCGUCGUGAAGAGGGAAACAACCCAGACCGCCAGCUAAGGUCCCAAAGUCAUGGUUAAGUGGGAAACGAUGUGGGAAGGCCCAGACAGCCAGGAUGUUGGCUUAGAAGCAGCCAUCAUUUAAAGAAAGCGUAAUAGCUCACUGGUCGAGUCGGCCUGCGCGGAAGAUGUAACGGGGCUAAACCAUGCACCGAAGCUGCGGCAGCGACGCUUAUGCGUUGUUGGGUAGGGGAGCGUUCUGUAAGCCUGUGAAGGUGUGCUGUGAGGCAUGCUGGAGGUAUCAGAAGUGCGAAUGCUGACAUAAGUAACGAUAAAGCGGGUGAAAAGCCCGCUCGCCGGAAGACCAAGGGUUCCUGUCCAACGUUAAUCGGGGCAGGGUGAGUCGACCCCUAAGGCGAGGCCGAAAGGCGUAGUCGAUGGGAAACAGGUUAAUAUUCCUGUACUUGGUGUUACUGCGAAGGGGGGACGGAGAAGGCUAUGUUGGCCGGGCGACGGUUGUCCCGGUUUAAGCGUGUAGGCUGGUUUUCCAGGCAAAUCCGGAAAAUCAAGGCUGAGGCGUGAUGACGAGGCACUACGGUGCUGAAGCAACAAAUGCCCUGCUUCCAGGAAAAGCCUCUAAGCAUCAGGUAACAUCAAAUCGUACCCCAAACCGACACAGGUGGUCAGGUAGAGAAUACCAAGGCGCUUGAGAGAACUCGGGUGAAGGAACUAGGCAAAAUGGUGCCGUAACUUCGGGAGAAGGCACGCUGAUAUGUAGGUGAAGUCCCUCGCGGAUGGAGCUGAAAUCAGUCGAAGAUACCAGCUGGCUGCAACUGUUUAUUAAAAACACAGCACUGUGCAAACACGAAAGUGGACGUAUACGGUGUGACGCCUGCCCGGUGCCGGAAGGUUAAUUGAUGGGGUCAGCGCAAGCGAAGCUCUUGAUCGAAGCCCCGGUAAACGGCGGCCGUAACUAUAACGGUCCUAAGGUAGCGAAAUUCCUUGUCGGGUAAGUUCCGACCUGCACGAAUGGCGUAAUGAUGGCCAGGCUGUCUCCACCCGAGACUCAGUGAAAUUGAACUCGCUGUGAAGAUGCAGUGUACCCGCGGCAAGACGGAAAGACCCCGUGAACCUUUACUAUAGCUUGACACUGAACAUUGAGCCUUGAUGUGUAGGAUAGGUGGGAGGCUUAGAAGUGUGGACGCCAGUCUGCAUGGAGCCGACCUUGAAAUACCACCCUUUAAUGUUUGAUGUUCUAACGUUGACCCGUAAUCCGGGUUGCGGACAGUGUCUGGUGGGUAGUUUGACUGGGGCGGUCUCCUCCUAAAGAGUAACGGAGGAGCACGAAGGUUGGCUAAUCCUGGUCGGACAUCAGGAGGUUAGUGCAAUGGCAUAAGCCAGCUUGACUGCGAGCGUGACGGCGCGAGCAGGUGCGAAAGCAGGUCAUAGUGAUCCGGUGGUUCUGAAUGGAAGGGCCAUCGCUCAACGGAUAAAAGGUACUCCGGGGAUAACAGGCUGAUACCGCCCAAGAGUUCAUAUCGACGGCGGUGUUUGGCACCUCGAUGUCGGCUCAUCACAUCCUGGGGCUGAAGUAGGUCCCAAGGGUAUGGCUGUUCGCCAUUUAAAGUGGUACGCGAGCUGGGUUUAGAACGUCGUGAGACAGUUCGGUCCCUAUCUGCCGUGGGCGCUGGAGAACUGAGGGGGGCUGCUCCUAGUACGAGAGGACCGGAGUGGACGCAUCACUGGUGUUCGGGUUGUCAUGCCAAUGGCACUGCCCGGUAGCUAAAUGCGGAAGAGAUAAGUGCUGAAAGCAUCUAAGCACGAAACUUGCC
This 2030-nucleotide ribosomal RNA is filed under the name Escherichia coli. RNAcentral's name for it is "partial 23S ribosomal RNA". It matches the Rfam family "Bacterial large subunit ribosomal RNA", at positions 786 to 2798 of the family's 2925-position model. The record is from RNAcentral. Lineage: Bacteria; Pseudomonadati; Pseudomonadota; Gammaproteobacteria; Enterobacterales; Enterobacteriaceae.